CCCUAUCAAUUCCCAAACACAGCAACAGCAGCAUCAAUUUCAAUCCAUGCGUGGUGGAUUAGGAAGUUUGGCACCUGUCAAAAUGGAGACACAGGUGACUAAUGAUCAAACACCGCAGCAGUUGCAAGCUCUGCGAAACUUGGCACCUGUAAAAAUGGAACCACAACAGAUUCAAAGUAUGAGAGGUCUUGCGCCUGUCAAAGUAGAACAACAACAAUCUGACCCAUCUUUAUUUCUACAUCAGCAACAGCAGCAGCAAUUCCUUCAGAUGUCCAGGCAGUCCCCUCAAGCUGCUGCUGCUGCACAGCUUUUGCAUCAGCAGAGGCUAAUGCAGUUCCAGCAUCAUCAUCAACUCUUGAAGACUUCCCCUCAACAACGAAACCCAUUACAACAACAAUUUCAAUCACAGAAUCUUGCUGUCAGACCUCCUGUAAAGCCAGUAUAUGAACCCGGGAUGUGUGCCCGUCGGCUGACUCAUUAUAUGUAUCAGCAGCAACAUAGACCUGAAGUAAGAUGAAUGGGUCAACUAGAUCAUUGUUUGGCAUCUAUGCACUGCACCCUACCCUGCAGCUUUCCCAGAUAAUGAAAAAGGAAGUAUGAUAUCGAUUUUUUCCCUAACAUAUUGCUCUACCUUCUUUAUAGGACAAUAACAUUGAGUUCUGGAGGAAAUUUGUUGCUGAGUAUUUCGCUCCCAAUGCCAAGAAAAAAUGGUGUGUAUCUAUGUAUGGAAGUGGUCGGCAGACUACUGGAGUUUUUCCUCAGGUUCACUGCUUAUGUGGAAGCUAUUUACAUUUUUGUUUUUGUAAUGUUUUUUGUUCUCCCAUCAAAUGAAAAUGGAGUUGUAAUAACUUUCAUGCUACAAGUUUAGUAUUCUAUUUCAGCAUAGAUAUAUUUUCAUCUCAGAUACUGCUUUUAGAGCUUGUUCUAUAAAUGAUGCUGAUUAGCUGUAGAACAACUGUUAGCAAAUGAGUUUAUAUCUUUGAUUAAUAUUGUGUAAAUUGCAGGAUGUGUGGCACUGCGAAAUAUGCAGCCGCAAGCCAGGCCGUGGGUUCGGUAUGUUAUUUGCAGCAUCAAGCUCUUGAAUUAUUUUUUGGUCCUAGAAGCACUUAACAAACUUUGUGGCUUAACAAAACCCUUUCUUUAAUUAAUUCAUCUUUAUUAAUUCGGUUUUCCUCUCGGUUGAUAAUUCUGUUUCAGCAUCUGAUAAAUCUCAAAUCAUUUUUUCUCAGAAGCGACUGCCGAGGUUUUGCCCAGGCUUUUCAAGAUAAAGUAUGAAAGUGGCACUUUGGAAGAACUUCUCUAUGUCGAUAUGCCCCGUGAAUAUCAGAAUUCAUCUGGGCAAAUAGUCCUAGAUUACGCAAAAGCGAUUCAGGAGAGUGUCUUUGAGCAACUUCGUGUUGUCCGUGAUGGUCAGCUUCGCCUAGUGUUUUCACAACCUGAUUUGAAGGUUAAAUGAAAGUCUGAUAGUUUUAUAUUCAGUGAAGUGUUUAUUCAUGGACAGUUGAGACCUAGCAUGGUGCAUAUUAAUUUUAUAAUUCGUUUGAUCUGGAUUUCUUUUGUAUCUACUUGGCAGAUAGUUUCUUGGGAAUUUUGUGCACGACGUCACGAGGAGCUUAUCCCUAGAAGAUUGUUGAUACCUCAGGUUAACAAUUUUACCUUUCAACUGCCAUUCCGCAGAUGCAUUAUGAAGUCAUGCUUCAACUGUGAUUUGAAUCAUACACUUCUAUUCACUGAUAGCAAACUUUUAGGUGGCCUAGGUUUAAAUAUAGGUAAAAAAAAGUCGGUUGAUUUUUUUCUUCAAAAAAAUUUGAAGAUGCUUUAUAAAUUCUACUUGAGAAGUAAAGAACUUCAAUCUAAUUUCUUGCCACAUCUGCUAUGGCAGAAGCCUUUUCGUUUCAUUGACCUUGAACUAUGUGCUAAUUCAGUGCGAUUGAUCUUUAUUAUUGACAUUACUUAUGUAAUUGGAUGAGAGUAUGGUCGUGUGAGUAUUUAUGGUCAUUAUUUCCUUUUUCUUUUGUCUGUUGGUACAAGCUCAAUAUACAUGGAAGUACAAGAUUUCAGUUGCAUUUUUGUUCUUUUCUAAUUUCAAAAUUUACCUGUUUCUUCUUCUUAGCAAUAUAGAACGGUUUAGAAGCAUCUUAUUCUCUAUCCUCAUCUUGUGAUAUUGAAGUGGUAAGGGCUGCUGGACAGACGGCUCUAAACUGCUUUUUAGAUGAAUCAAGCUCCAAUUAGUUGUUUGUGGUUGCAAUUUCUGUUAAUUAAUGGAAAGAAUUGACUGUUCGUAAUCGUAUGGCAUUUCUAUUUGUUCUUUUCUUCAGUUUUGGGGAGAAUCUGUCUCUGGAAAAUAUUUUUGAAAACUAUUGCAUGGCUGGAUUGUGUUUGGAUUUAAUAUUGUUUUUUGAAGUAUUUGGUGGAUUGUAUUGCGUUCUUGAAGUUUGUUUUUGGUAUCCUGAGUUCAAGCUGGUUUUGCAUUGGGUAGAAGUUCUAACCCUGGUUAAGGCCCAAGGGUUUGGAUAUGUUAUGGUCACGGGAUAGUUAAGAUGUGAUGGAGAAAAAUUCAGAACAGUUUUAUUGGGUGAUGUUGAUGCUAUCUGAGGUCCAUGGAACAGGACUUUGAUGCUCUAAGUUGUGCAUGUUUUAAGAAAUUUGUGUUUGCACAGGAUAACAAAGUAUAAUUUAAAUAAGCUCCGACUUCAAAAUGGAAAUUGAGGACUUGUAAAAAGGAGUUGUGGUUUUAAUAUGAUCACUUGCGAUUCUAACUAUUCCUUGGUAUAUUUUUCAAUCACAACUGGCUUCAAAUGCCUAAUAUCAAGAAGAUCUUUUCGCUGAUAAAAUUUAGAAUCAAAUUUUCUCUCGGUAGGAUUGUUAAAAGAGUAGUACUGGUUGAUGGAUCUUGGUGCACCAAAUUGGACACAACUCAAUUAAAAAAAUCAAAACACAAAUGAAAGCUAGAUAUAAGCUAGUAAACCUCGAGUUCAUUUCAUAACCUUCAGAUUUUGUUAUCUUUUUGUUUUUGCUUGUAUGCCUGUAUUAUAGUGAACUACUACUAUAUGAUAAAAGUGUGCUACAAAAAAGAAAACAAAUGUUAGAAAUUAAACUUCAAUUGACAAUGUAUAGAAACAUGGACUGAAGUAAGCUUUAAAUGUGUUCGUUGUAUGAGGAUUUACUUAAACAAUUCUAUGUUUGCUAUCAGUGGAAAAAAAAUUCUAUGUUUGCUAUCUAAUAAUACUAACAUCUGGAUUUCCACAAGAUAUUUAAUUAAAUAUGCUAUAAUAUUAAGUUCCUGUCUUUCGGUGUUAGUUUCCUAGGUUUGUCAAUGUGCAGUAAGUAUGGGGUGAAACAUUUUUGGCGCCAGAUUUGCUACAACUUAUAUUUAAAAGAAAGAAAAGAAAAACAAAAGCUAGAUUGGAACCGGUAAACACAAAAUUCAUUAAUUUUCACCUAGAGCUGCACUAUCUUCAGUUUUUUAGUUUUUUUUUCCUGUUUAAGUGUGCGUAUAGUGAACUAGGAUCUGAUAUAUGCAUAUGAUAAAAACUCAUUUUCGAGUAACCAAUUCAUACUUUAACUAUCAUCUUUGUAUUAUGAGUUACUUAAAUGAAGUGCCUGUUUGGGCAAAUUUCUUGGAGGCCAAAAGCACUUAUUUCAAAAUUUGAAGUGUCUGGCCAAUAAGUAGAACUGCUUUUGAGUAGCAGCAAAAUCAGUUUUUUUGCUAUUGGAAAGAAGUUAGAAUUUCUGCUUCUUGAAAAAGGUGGAAGUAGAAUUUUUUUUUUUCAAACAAAAAAUUUCCCUACCAUAAAUACAUACUUAUCAUGCAUAACGCCUCAUCAAGUUAUUACUUUUUUAUUAUAGAACAACCAUUUCCUUUUCUUUUUAAAAUAGAAGAAAAUAAUGACUAGCUUUCAAAUUAUCUCAUUUCCUUUGACUCUUAAUAUUAGUAUCCAUGCAUUGCCGAAGUUUUUUUCGUCUUUUAUUUCGUUGUGUGAAUGAUUUUACUUAUUUUUGUGGUAAAUACCCCAUAUAUGGUUAUUUAAUUUGAGGAUUAAUUUUUUAAUAUAUAUUGUUUAAUGUUUCUUAGUAUAUUCAAAUCAUCAUGUUAAUAUUAUACUAAUAUUUAAUAUUUUCAUUGAUUUAUUAAUAUGUACCAUAUAUUGAAAAUUUUAAUAUGUAUUUUAAUUUUAAUUAGAUAACAGUACAAACUUGAUCAACGUCUUUCAUUGUUGAUACUUUUAAAAUAAUAUUUCUCUAUAGAAUAAUCUUAAUUAUAAACGUGCAUUAAUACCUGUCAUAAUUUGACACUCAAAAUCAUUUUUGUUAGAAAGAUUAGCCUAACACGAUUUGCUUAUCAAAUAUGAAAAAACACUUGCCAAACACAUCGCUUUUCUCCCGAAGUACUUUUUUGGGAAGCUAUUUUAUAGAAAAUGCUUCUCAAAAUAAACAAAUAUUAGCAGCUUGGUCAAACAGUUUCUCUAUGUGUGCCACUUAACAAUUUUAGCGUUUGAUUAGGAGGUGACAUCUAAUUAAAUAUGCUUUCUUAAUAGAUCAGUUGGCUUUUGUUUCGUAUGUUUAAGUUGCACGGACUCUUCAAUUUCGAUGCCGCACUCGUGCCGGAUCUCUAAAAAUACACUACUUUUGGAGAAUCCGACACACCUGUUGACAUUUUUGAAGAGUCCGAGCAACAUAACUGUAGGUUUGUCAUGCUAUUUUUCAUGUUUUGGUACACUCAUGAGGUCCAUUGAAGAAUUUGUAUAUAAGUGUGUGCAUGCGUGUGUACACAUAUAUGAAAUUGAUACUUGUAUACAUGUGUGUAUAAAUCUUUCUCGUUUUAGGCCGUUAGUACAAUAUUUUUAAGAGAUCUUGUGCACAAUGAGCAAUGUUAUUAAAGCAUGCUUAAUCCCUGAAGCAAGACUCAUAACAUGUUGAACGCUUCACCCUGCUUAAUUAAUGUGCCCUUCAGUGUCGUCAUUAAGGCUCUAAGACACACUUUUCCUUGUGAAUGAGCGUUCCCUGAAGAGGCGACUCUAAGCCAUUGUUAUUUCAUUUUAUCCUAAAAACAAUAAAUUUCUUUGUCCAUAAAUAUAUAUAUGUCUUCUCCAUUUACGCUUUUCUCAAUAAAGCCAACGCUUUAUUUGUGCUCAAAAACCAGCGCUUUUUUUGCGCUUUUGAUAACACUUACGGUGAGUGGAUCAGGUUUUCUACUUCAGGAUGUCUCUUUGAAGCAGUUCUCAAUUUAUUGUGUGUGAUCGUACUUCUGUGGCAUCUAGUUGUUUUAGCAUAUAAUUUUUAUGUUAGCUGGAUGUCGUUUUAGCUUUGAGUGUUGAUGUUGCAUAUGAGGUAGGGGCUAUAGAAUCAUUUUUGAUUUGCCUAUUAUUGUUUUGAUAUGCUGUACAGGUUAGUCAACUUGGUGCUGCAGCUCAAAAGUACCAGGCCGCCACCCAAAAUGCAUCAUCUAGUGCGUCUGUUUCUGAGUUGCAGAAUAAUUGCAAUAUGUAAGUCCAGAUACUUACAUUAAGGCGUUUAUUCUAAGUAUUGGGUUGGGAAUAUUCCAUAACUUUGUUUGAUUGUUUUGUUGCCUUACAAUUUCUAUUUAGCUAUCUAACCCUCUUUUUUAAGAGGUUUGCAAUAGACUAACUUUGUUUAAUGGUAGUUGUUGUUUCCUAGCAAUUUCUAUUUUGAAUUUUGAAUAUCUAACCCUCUUUAUCAAGAGGUAAGCUGUGGCCAAAUAUUAGAUCGCCGUCAUUAGUGGGCAGUGAUGAUGAGAAUAGGAUCUAUUUGUAAUUCACAUUUUAUACAGCUCUGUUUUUGGCAUUGAGCUUUAAUGGUCUUUACUGGUGCUGUUUCCUGCUCUUUCUUAGCUUAGGUUAGCCUCUCCAUGCUAAGGUAAGAUGUUCUACCAGUGAGUUGCUCUAGUAAGCUUUUGGCUAUCCAAUAAUUUUCUUAAAGCUGAAAUUUACUGUCAUCUGAUUCAGUGAUUUACCGGGUACAUAUUUUCUCGUCUUCCUUUGUUGGAUGAAUUUGGUAUAAUGGAGUAUGGUCAAUUUGGCAUACUGUUGAACCUUAGAAACUCAAAGUCUUUAAACAUUAUUAUGAAUGUCUAGUUGAUAAAUAUUCUACCACAAUGGUGUGUUUAGGUGCAUGGCUGUCUACCUUCCUUUGAUACUUUUUUUUUUUUAUUGAAAGUUGAACUUUGGAGUGUCAUGGUUUUGGGGUGUGGGUUGAGGAUGUUGACAGUGACCUGCGUGAGUGUUGAUUUAUAUUCUAGUCCUCUCAGUGCUAUGGUGACAUAUGGGAGGGGGUAGGAGGCUAGGAGCUAGGGACGUCAUCUGGUGGACCUACCAAAAGGGAGAGGAAUAAAUCUUCUUCCCAUGGAAUAACAUUAAUCUCAGGAGCUGUGAGUAGUGGUUUGAGGUGGUGGGGAGAGGGUAUGUAAAGAUAUGCAUGCCCUUUGAAAAAGUCAGAAGUGAUCCAUGUAAGCAUUCAGUUGUGAAGCUAAGUUUAGAGAUUCCUUGAUUCUCGAAAUUUUAUUAAGAUUGUGAAUCUGUUAUCAUCAUGUGUUCCUUUAUUUAGCUUUAGAUGUGUGAGUUAUUUUGUAAUUUUGACUUCUAAUUGCGCUUCAGGUUUGUUGCUUCAGCUCGUCAGCUAGCAAAAGCUUUGGAAGUUCCGUUAGUAAAUGAUUUAGGAUAUACAAAGAGAUAUGUGAGAUGCCUACAGGUAUGUACCUUGUUCUGACAUAGAGAACUCCUCUUUCCCCUCUUUUCUGUCCCUUGUGUAGGUUUUUGUUUCAGUAGUGGAAAUAGUCCUCGUGUAUCUAUUGAGUCACUAAAUGUGAUUGUUGGAAUUUUAGCUACUGUAAUAGUUAGUUAUUAAGGGUCUCGGCCAGCUUAUGCAUCUCUCUUUUUAUGUCUGAUUCAAAAGUCACUCAGUUCUGUCGACCUGUCUUCAGUUCAUUUCUUUCCAUAUGUCGUCCUGUUGUUUUCAGAGCAGAUUCGAAAACAGAGAUGAAUUCAAUUCUUUUAACAGUCAGCAGGUUAGAGAUGGUUGUUAAUGUUGUGGAUUUGAAAAUUCCUUUUAAUAAUAUGUGUAAUUAACUCAUGUAUAAUGCUUCAGCUUUUCUCUUGGAUACAAAUAUGUGGUGUAAUGUUUUCCUACUGUUGGUAAUUCUUGUCUUUCCUUCAGAAAUUGACUUCGUUUGAAAAUGCUUGUUCUAGCAGGAAGUCAAGGUCUUUUGGUUUUAGGUUCUUCUAAUUCAGUUUAUUUAUUUCUUAAAUGUUUUAUAAUCAUUAAUUUUGAAACCAAAUAUAAAGUUGCUUUUGUGUGAUAACAUCUGGUCAAAUGAUGUUUUGCUUGUGUGAUCAACUAUGGAUGUGUUGUGUUCUUGGUGGAUUGCAGAUAUCGGAAGUGGUAAAUAGCAUGAAAGAUUUGAUUGACUAUAGCAGGGAGACAGGGACCGGACCCAUGGGUAAGUUCAACCUACUUAACCUUUCUAUUAGUUCCUUACAUCACAGUUCAAAUUUACUGACCUUGUGACAAACUAAUGACUCACUAACAUAGGAGGAUAGAUGGGGUUGUUUUCCUGUGAGUUAGUGUUGCAUACAACGACAACAAAAUACCUAGUGUAAUUUCACAAGUGGGGUCCGGGGAGGAUAGAGCAAACACAGACCUCAACCCCCCUACCUUGGGAUGUAGAGAGGCUGUUUCCGAUAUACCCUUGGCUCAAGGAAAAGGAAAUAGCGGAACUAAAGAAGCUACUAACAUGGCAUAUUGCCAACUAAUUGAUAUUUUCUCUAUAAGGUGUUUUUUCCUUCCGUUGUGACCUAUUUUCGCUAAGCCUACAUAGAUUCUAAGAAUUGUACGUUUUUCGAGACAGUAUCGAGCUAGUGUUGUAUAGAUAAUAAUGUAUUUCACAAAGAGGCAUCUGAUUGUUAUUUAAAGGUGUCCCAGGAAUUUGGUUCAAUGGGAAAUGUGUGCUACGCUGUUGUUGCUCCAAGUUUGGUUCUAGGUGAAGUGUAGAGAAUUAGGCCCAUUAUCUUCUUGUGAGGAUUGUAUUGGAGAAGAAUAUUAUUGAAAUUGUGUAUCUACAUUAUUACAUAGAGACCCUAUUUAUAGACACUACAAUAUAAUCCUUUACCAAGUAGGAUACUAUUUACUAUUUCUAUUACUAUUCCUAUUCGUAUUCUAAAUAGGAUUUUAUAAACCUAUUCCUAUUCUAUCACUUCUUUUAAUAAGUAAAGAAUGACACUUAUAUAGAGAGCAUUAGGAUCAUUAUCCUGAAUUUCUAAGCUGAAACAACGGAUUUCUUAGUCAAACCAAAAAAAAAAGAAAAAAAAUAAGAGAGCAAAUUGGGGUGGGGGGUGGGGGUGGGGGGCGCAAAAGAAAGAAGAUUGCCUUUUGAAGUAAAUUUUGCUCAUACCAUGAAAUUGCUUUGCGGAUGGAAAAUAGAAACCAUCAUGUUUGAGUAGAGAACCCAUGGGACAAAGCAGAUUCCGCUGCAUCGUUAGUCAACUUUGUUGGUAAUAUAACUGUCAUGUAAUAACUAGAGCCACGCAAUAUGCAUGAAUGUUGGGGACUAGAGAGUAGGACACUCAACUCUUGCAAACUAAGGCUCACUUUCAUAUUGGACAUAAUGUAUCGUUAAUUUUCUCGCUGAUGCUCAUUGAUCCAGUUGCAUAGUUUUCCCCCUGAAUUUCUUAUCAAUUCCCUCUUUUGCCCCGAAAUAUAUCACUUUUCCUAGUGGCAUUCUGGAUUUGGUGUUUAGUCUUUUUUCGAUAAUGAGGAUUUGGUGUUUUAUAUCUUAGUGCUACCUCUUUGUGCUCUGGAGUUUGCUGUGGUAUUUAAGUCCCAGGAGACCGGGUAAGUGGUCAAGUGUUUCCCCAACAUUCAUGAAGUUCAAGUGGUAAUCUACCAAAAUUCAAUUUGUGGGGUAAAUGAGUGGGAGCUCAACUUAUCAUUAAUCAGUUUUUAUGUCUGGCCCAGUGUUAUCCUCUCUACCUGUGAUGCGUAUGUGAGUGGGCCAUUUUUGUGUGCGCUAAAUUGAUAAUUUGGAGUAGAUAUUCAACUUGAGCUUGAUGAACUUUUUUUUUUAAUUUUCAUCUAGUAUUGAUGAUCUGUCCUGGCGUUUAUGUUUAACAUUAUUCUUACUGUUCACAUUGUGCCCAACUCUUAAUUUUCCAGAGAGCUUGGCUAAGUUUCCUCGUAGGAACGGUUCUUCAGCUGGAGUACAAGGUCCAGUUCAAUCAACUGAGGAUCAGACUCAGCAGCAGCAGCAGCAACAACAGCAGCAGCAGCAACAACAGCAGCAGCAACAUACACAUCAAACAGUCAGUAGCUCAAACCAUGAGACGACUUCACAGCCUGGUGUACCGCCUCUACCUUUAAGCAAUGGUAUGUUGAAUGUAAACAAUUCUGUGAACCAAGUACCUGCUACUUCGUCUAGUGGUACUGUUGUUGGAUUACUGCACCAAAAUUCCAUGAACUCCAGGCAACAAAAUCCAGUGAAUGGUGGAAGUAGUACCUACUCAGGAAAUGCUGUCCAAAUGCCUUCACCUAAUUCUUCAAGUACAAUGCCUCAGUCUCAACCCAACUCUUCUCAAUUCCAGUCUCCAACACCAUCAUCAUCCAACAAUCCACCACAAGCUUCACACAGUGGCUUAUCAUCAGUGCAACACAUGAACUCUGCAAAUUCCCCAAAAAUCACAAUGCAGCAACCAGCCCAUUCAAGCGACGUGGAUGCUAAUGACUCUCAGAGUUCUGUACAAAAGAUCAUACAUGAAAUGAUGAUGUCUUCACAGCUCGGUGGCGGUGGCAUGGUAGGUAAUGGUACUAUUGGGAAUGAUAUAAAAAAUGGACAUGGGAUGUUGGCAACAAGUAAUAAUUCCCUUCUCAAUGGAAGCAAUUGCCUUGUUAGGAAUGGGACAGCCAAUGCUAACAGUACAGGUGUUGGUUCUGGAUUUGGGAGUAUGAACAAUGGACUGGGCCAAGCUGCAAUGGCUAAUGGAAUGCGUGCUGCAUUGGGUAAUAACCCUUCAGCCAUGAAUGGGUUAGUGGGCAUGACAAUGGUGAGAGAACGUAAUAUGAGUCAACAGCAACAAGAUCUGGGAAACCAACUGCUAAGUGGUUUAGAAGCAGUCAACGGUUUUAACAACCUGCAGUUUGACUGGAAAACAUCUCCUUAAAAAGGUUCAGGUUGGCAAUUAUUAGUCUAUGUUCUGCUGCUUGUGUUGCAAAGAUCGUUAUAUGAGUUUGCCUCUCAUGAUAAGAGUAGCCAUGGUUGCUGAAGCAGAAGUGGUUUCAAAGAUUUCCCCUUCUGUACUGAUUUGAGUGGGAAGGACAACGUAUAGUGUGGCAUCUUAACAGCUGAAAUGUUAUCUCAUCCGAGAGUGCACUCUCUUCUAACUUGAUUUUGCCUGGUUUGUCAUAGCUGCUCCUUUAAUGGGACAUUCAGGGAACGACUUGGCUAAUGGACCGCUACAUUCAAUCUGUUUAUACCAUGCGGAGGCAUUUGUUAACUAUGUAUGGGCUGAUCUAUUGCCCCUAUCGUGCUGCAUCUCCACACCACUCCAGAGCAUGCGGUUGUAUAUAGUUGGGGUUCUGUUGUAGAGCUUUCAGUAGCUUCUAUAAUUGGCACCGGUGCAAUCAUCAUUUCCUCUCUCCUUCCUACUUGUCUUUCUGUUAGGCUUAUUUGGAGUGGCUUGACAGGGGGAAAAAAAUUAGGAUGAGGCUUGGUGGAAUUAAAGUAAAUCCAUUAGUAUGAAGUUGUAUCUGAAGGAAUUUGAUUUUAAGCACUGGAAUUUUCAUAGGGGCAUAAUUUGAAGUAUUUCUAUUAGCCUGUUGAUUAGGAAUUGCUGGCUUGAUUUUAACCCACAGAUGUUUGUUCUAAUUGCUUUACAAAGUAGAAAGAGCCAGUUGCUCAUGUUUUUUGCUGGAAAAAAUUAAACCAGUGAUGAGGCCGUCCUACUUUACUCUUGUUGCCAUCAUCUUUAACUUGUUAUUGGCUUUCUGGAGUCAGUGUUUUUCUUUUAUUGAACUGCGAGGAGAGAGCUGCUAUUGCAAGGAUACUAGUCAUGAAGAAAACUUGUCGGCAACAUAUUCUGGUCUCUACUGCCGGCAACUCCAUGAGCUCCAGAGAGAUCAUCGACAAUGGAGUAGCAGAAACCUAUCAUUCGCGAUUCUUAAUUUAUAUAGUUUGAAUCUCGAAAGUUCAAAAUCUGAGGUCUGACGAAGUUAAUGUAAUGAAAAGAAUGCAUGUAGUAUAAAAUAAAGAGUUCAGAGGAGAACCUCUUUAAAUGUUCAUAAAUUGAGUUCAAAUUACAAUCUUAAAGUAAACUUUUUGACAAAUAAGGAUAAAUAAACGUCCACCCAUUUAUUCUUUCGCUUUACGUGGCGUUUUAUAGAAAUAUAAAUAUUAGGAGGGUACUUUGUAAAUAUUGUCGAUAUCAAAUGUCAAUUACAAAGCAGAACAAUGUAUGUAUAACAGUCCCAUAAAAUAAAAUAUCCAUCAUCGAUCCGUCCACAUGCAUGUGUAAAGAAAAAAAAAGAAAAAGAAAAAAGAGAAGAGAUUUGACUUCGUUUUGAUUGAUUGAGAAAAGAGAAAAUUUUAUUAGUAAAGAGAAGAAGAAAUAAAGAAGAAAAUUCAUUCCGAUUGAAUACAAUUUUGACGUCCGUAAACACACUUUCUCUCUCUAAACAAAAUAUACAGCUAAGAAGCUGAAUCUAUCUACUGAAAGGAAGCACAGUGAAGUUCAAAGAAGGUGACGCUACAAUUUGUGUGUUCUUUGUGCUUGUAGUUCCGUGUAUGGAAUAUACUCAAUCUGCGGUGAGUCGCUGUUGAAAUUGUCUUUUUGUUUUCUAAAGCUGGCUGCAGGUUGCUCAUUUUUAUCAUUUAUUGCGAGAUUUAGGGCUUGAUCAAGUGUUCAUAUGAUUGUAUAAGUUUCCUGCUUUGUUCUUUUUUCUUUUUUGUUUAGUGUUCAAUCAAGCUUCUUUCAUUUUCCGAGUUUGAAAAUUUGGGUGUUUUUGGGUAAUAUUCUCUGACGGAUGUUUUUCUAAAAGGGAUAGGAAUGAAGUUUGAUUUCUGAUUAGACGAUUUCAAGUAAGGUUGGGUAGGGUAAAUCUAUCUUUAUCGGAAGGGAGGGAUAAAUUGACACAAAAUUGAAUAACUAUUGCAGUGGAUGAUGCAGCAAAAGACAGUUAUUUGAGCGGAAAGAAGUCUGGUUUAGUGGUUUCAGAGACAAGCUUCCAUCUUUUGGAUAAAAAAUGGAAUGAUAUUGUUGGUUUUGCUUGGUUCCCCGCCUAGUUUUUUCUUCAGAGCAAUUGAAAUUUCUUGAGCUUAGUGGGGGGCUUUGAUGCCAUUUUAUGAAUUUUCUGUACUCACUUGAGGCUUUUAUGCAAUUUUAGGAAGUUUCUAUAUUUGCUCAAGUGUUGGUAGACUGUGUGCUUCUUGGUGAAAAAUGGUUCCAACAGGGCCUCCUAAUCCACGUGGAGGUUCCCAGUCAGUACCUUCUUCAUUACUGCGAACAAAUUCCGGUGUAAUGGGUGGUCAAGGGGGGUCAAUGCCUUCACCAGGUUGUUUCCCUUCUAUGGUUUCUCCUCGGACGAUGUUUGGGAAUAUGAAUAUGCUAGGGAAUGCUCCCAAUGUUUCACAUCAGUCUUUUGCAAAUGGAGGUCCUAAUGCAGGGCUGGCUGGACCAGGAAGUUCUCAGCGUGGUCCUGUUGAUAAUGGGGCCGAGACUGACCCACUUUCUGGUGUAGGAAAUGGGAUCGGUUUUAGUGCUCCUUCAACGUCAUUUAUGUCAUCAGCCAUGGCAACAAAUCCAAAUAGCAGUCAAGUUCAAGGACAGCAGUUUCCUAACCCCUCCGGUAACCACAUGUUGGCUGACCAACAACGAUCCCAACAGUUUGAUUCCCAGAAUUUUCAACAUAAUCAACAGUUGCAGCAGUUUUCUUCCCCUAUCAAUUCCCAAACACAGCAACAGCAGCAUCAAUUUCAAUCCAUGCGUGGUGGAUUAGGAGGUGUGGCACCUGUCAAAAUGGAAACAGAGGUGACUAAUGAUCAAACACCGCAGCAGUUGCAAGCUCUGAGAAACUUGGCACCUGUAAAAAUGGAACCACAACAGAUUCAAAAUAUGAGAGGUCUUGCGCCUGUCAAAGUAGAACAACAACAAUCUGACCCAUCUUUAUUUCUACAUCAGCAACAGCAGCAGCAGUUCCUUCAGAUGUCCAGGCAGUCCCCUCAAGCUGCUGCUGCUGCACAGCUUUUGCAUCAGCAGAGGCUAAUGCAGUUCCAGCAUCAUCAUCAACUCUUGAAGACUUCCCCUCAACAACGAAACCCAUUACAACAACAAUUUCAAUCACAGAAUCUUGCUGUCAGACCUCCUGUAAAGCCAGUAUAUGAGCCCGGGAUGUGUGCCCGUCAGCUGACUCAUUAUAUGUAUCAGCAGCAACAUAGACCUGAAGUAAGAAGAAUUGGUCAACUAUAUCAUUGUGUGGCAUCUAUGCACUACACCCUACCCUGCAGCUUUCCCAGAUAAUGAAAAAGAAAAUAUGAUAUCAAUUUUUUCCCUAACAAAUUGCUCUUCCUUCUUUAUAGGACAAUAACAUUGAGUUCUGGAGGAAAUUUGUUGCUGAGUAUUUCGCUCCCAAUGCCAAGAAAAAAUGGUGUGUAUCUAUGUAUGGAAGUGGUCGGCAGACUACUGGAGUUUUUCCUCAGGUUCACUGCUUAUGUGGAAGUUAUUUACAUUUUUUGUUUUUGUAUUGUUUAUAUGCUCC
Molecule: long non-coding RNA, 13758 nt
Filed under: Solanum tuberosum (potato)
Lineage: Eukaryota; Viridiplantae; Streptophyta; Magnoliopsida; Solanales; Solanaceae
Description: long non-coding RNA (STUB_LNC006586)
Source: RNAcentral